GUCUAUAUGAAGUUAUAUAAAGUCUAGCCUGCCCGUUGAAAUAAAUGAAAGGCCGCAGUAUAAUUAACUGUGCAAAGGUAGCAUAAUUAGUAGUCUUUUAAUUGAAGGCUUGUAUGAAGGGUUGGACAAAAAAUAAGCUGUUUUCUAUUUUUGUUUUUGAAUUUGUCUUUUAAGUGAAAAGACUUAAAUAAUUUUAAGGGACGAUAAGACCCUAUAAAUCUUUAUAUUAAUAUAUUUUUAUUUAAGUUUUUUAUGUAUAUUAAAGUAAAAAUUAAAGAUAUUGUAUUGGGGUGAUAAGAAUAAUGAAUAAACUGUUCUAAAAAUAAACAAAGUUAUUUGGAAAAUAAUAGAUCCUUUUUAGAGAUUAAGAGUUUAAGUUACUUUAGGGAUAACAGCGUUAUUUUUUUUGAGAGUUCUAAUCGAAAAAAAAGUUUGCGACCUCGAUGUUGAAUUAAAAUUUCUUUAUGGUGUAGCCGUUAUAAAAGAAAGUCUGUUCGACUUUUAAAAUUUU
This 511-nucleotide ribosomal RNA is filed under the name Fennerogalathea ensifera. Its description in RNAcentral is "partial 16S ribosomal RNA". It matches the Rfam family "Bacterial large subunit ribosomal RNA", at positions 1831 to 2597 of the family's 2925-position model. Lineage: Eukaryota; Metazoa; Arthropoda; Malacostraca; Decapoda; Galatheidae. The record is from RNAcentral.